CGCAGCCUGAUGCAGCCAUGCCGCGUGUAUGAAGAAGGCCUUCGGGUUGUAAAGUACUUUCAGUUGUGAGGAAGGGUGUGUAGUUAAUAGCUGCACAUCUUGACGUUAGCAACAGAAGAAGCACCGGCUAACUCCGUGCCAGCAGCCGCGGUAAUACGGAGGGUGCGAGCGUUAAUCGGAAUUACUGGGCGUAAAGCGCAUGCAGGUGGUUCAUUAAGUCAGAUGUGAAAGCCCGGGGCUCAACCUCGGAACUGCAUUUGAAACUGGUGAACUAGAGUGCUGUAGAGGGGGGUAGAAUUUCAGGUGUAGCGGUGAAAUGCGUAGAGAUCUGAAGGAAUACCAGUGGCGAAGGCGGCCCCCUGGACAGACACUGACACUCAGAUGCGAAAGCGUGGGGAGCAAACAGGAUUAGAUACCCUGGUAGUCCACGCCGUAAACGAUGUCUACUUGGAGGUUGUGGCCUUGAGCCGUGGCUUUCGGAGCUAACGCGUUAAGUAGACCGCCUGGGGAGUACGGUCGCAAGAUUAAAACUCAAAUGAAUUGACGGGGGCCCGCACAAGCGGUGGAGCUG
This 571-nucleotide ribosomal RNA is filed under the name Vibrio sp. V-RA-4. RNAcentral's name for it is "bacterial SSU rRNA". It matches the Rfam family "Bacterial small subunit ribosomal RNA", at positions 376 to 940 of the family's 1533-position model. The record is from RNAcentral. Lineage: Bacteria; Pseudomonadati; Pseudomonadota; Gammaproteobacteria; Vibrionales; Vibrionaceae.